GUCAAACCCGCCAUACGGAGUAAAGGCAAUGUGACGACAAACGGUGACGUAACACUAGUUCUUGAGGUAGAAAUUAAAUUUAGAGAUACCAGAAAGAAGACAGGAGUGAGCGGCGAAUCUCUCUGGGAGUUGUCUGCCUGGAUUGCUCCUGUAAACACUACUCACAGUAACACGAGGCUGGAUUUCAACGAGCAAGUUCUCAAUGUUGAUCAAGCAUCGCAGUGGUACAUCAAAGGAGAUCAAUUCAUCUUUCGGGACGUCGUGUAUCCCUCCAGUGCUCUGCCUUUAAACUGCGACGAGGCCAACGUCUGUGUUGAGCUUAAACGUGGAAAAAAUGCAGUAGCAACCGAUGAUCGUCCUUUCCAUGUUAGCAGUUUCCCCAAAAGGUCUACAUCGUUGAUUGGCUGCACUUCACUAUGUACUGACGUGACAGUGCGUAAUGUCAACCCUACCAUUCAAAGUCAACGUAGUGUGACAUCCGAC
This is a long non-coding RNA of Strongylocentrotus purpuratus (purple sea urchin), 483 nucleotides long. RefSeq lists it as uncharacterized. The transcript has 3 exons. The record is from RefSeq and is a predicted model, not a curated record. Lineage: Eukaryota; Metazoa; Echinodermata; Echinoidea; Camarodonta; Strongylocentrotidae.